AUGAACGCUGGCGGCGUGCCUCAUACCUGCAAGUCGAGCGAACAGACGAGGAGCUUGCUCCUCUGACGUUAGCGGCGGACGGGUGAGUAACACGUGGAUAACCUACCUAUAAGACUGGGAUAACUUCGGGAAACCGGAGCUAAUACCGGAUAAUAUAUUGAACCGCAUGGUUCAAUAGUGAAAGACGGUUUUGCUGUCACUUAUAGAUGGAUCCGCGCCGCAUUAGCUAGUUGGUAAGGUAACGGCUUACCAAGGCAACGAUGCGUAGCCGACCUGAGAGGGUGAUCGGCCACACUGGAACUGAGACACGGUCCAGACUCCUACGGGAGGCAGCAGUAGGGAAUCUUCCGCAAUGGGCGAAAGCUUGACGGAGCAACGCCGCGUGAGUGAUGAAGGUCUUCGGAUCGUAAAACUCUGUUAUUAGGGAAGAACAAAUGUGUAAGUAACUAUGCACGUCUUGACGGUACCUAAUCAGAAAGCCACGGCUAACUACGUG
RNAcentral lists this ribosomal RNA (496 nucleotides) under uncultured bacterium. Its description in RNAcentral is "partial 16S ribosomal RNA". It matches the Rfam family "Bacterial small subunit ribosomal RNA", at positions 29 to 507 of the family's 1533-position model. The record is from RNAcentral.